RNAcentral lists this ribosomal RNA (404 nucleotides) under uncultured bacterium. RNAcentral's name for it is "bacterial SSU rRNA". It matches the Rfam family "Bacterial small subunit ribosomal RNA", at positions 355 to 776 of the family's 1533-position model. The record is from RNAcentral.
UGGGGAAUAUUGGGCAAUGGGCGCAAGCCUGACCCAGCAACGCCGCGUGAAGGAAGAAGGCUUUCGGGUUGUAAACUUCUUUUCUGAGGGACGAUAGUGACGGUACCUCAGGAAUAAGCCACGGCUAACUACGUGCCAGCAGCCGCGGUAAUACGUAGGUGGCAAGCGUUAUCCGGAUUUACUGGGUGUAAAGGGCGUGUAGGCGGGAUGGUAAGUCAGAUGUGAAAACUAUGGGCUCAACCCAUAGCCUGCAUUUGAAACUAUCGUUCUUGAGUGUUGGAGAGGCAGGCGGAAUUCCGUGUGUAGCGGUGAAAUGCGUAGAUAUACGGAGGAACACCAGUGGCGAAGGCGGCCUGCUGGACCGAAACUGACGUUGAGGCUCGAAAGCGUGGGGAGCAAACAGG